UUUCCUGAUAGCUUAAGGGUAGAGCGUAUGGCUGUUAACCAUUAGGUUGUAGGUUCGAAUCCUACUCAGGAAGU
This 74-nucleotide transfer RNA is filed under the name Gracilaria ornata. RNAcentral's name for it is "tRNA-Asn". It matches the Rfam family "tRNA". From Rfam's summary of the family: Transfer RNA (tRNA) molecules are approximately 80 nucleotides in length. Their secondary structure includes four short double-helical elements and three loops (D, anti-codon, and T loops). Further hydrogen bonds mediate the characteristic L-shaped molecular structure. tRNAs have two regions of fundamental functional importance: the anti-codon, which is responsible for specific mRNA codon recognition, and the 3' end, to which the tRNAs corresponding amino acid is attached (by aminoacyl-tRNA synthetases). tRNAs cope with the degeneracy of the genetic code in two manners: having more than one tRNA (with a specific anti-codon) for a particular amino acid; and 'wobble' base-pairing, i.e. permitting non-standard base-pairing at the 3rd anti-codon position. Lineage: Eukaryota; Rhodophyta; Florideophyceae; Gracilariales; Gracilariaceae. The record is from RNAcentral.